CACUUUCAACUCUCCUCUCACCCUCCCUUUACUCGGGGGGCUCCCGAGUGGCGCAGCGUUCUAAGGCACUGCAUCUCAGUGCUAAAGUCGUCACUACAGACCCUGGUUUACUUCCAGGCUGUAUCUCAGCUGAGUCGUUAGGGUUUGGCUGGGGUGAGCACCUAGAGAAGAUCAUCACCCAUGGUGCUGAAGUUCUGCAGUGUGGAGGAUGAUGAACUCAGGGACUACUGCUUCCAGGCCUUUGAAGCUUUUCACCGCAGAUGCCCUAAGGAGAUGUCCCCUCUGUGAUCAAGGUACAUCACCUAUGACCUUCACUAGAACUACGAUGUGGAUGAGAAUGGGGAUGAGUCCAUGGAUUCACAGGCCGGAGAGUUUAAGGACCAAGAGUCAGAUGACGAGUACAGUGACGAUAUGAGCUGGAAGGAGCGGAGGUCAUCUGUGUGUCGAGGCAUCAGGAGAGACCUGCUAGUGGAGCUGUAUGGUUCAGCGGCCCGAUUUCUGUUAUAGCCAAAUGGACAAUAAAAUAUAAAUGAUCUUCUAUUCUAGACAAACUACCUGCUUCUACAUUGACGUCAAGCCCUACGUGAAGGACUUGUUCGCUGGCACCCUGAAGAGGCUGCAGACAAA
This 627-nucleotide long non-coding RNA is filed under the name Salmo salar (Atlantic salmon). RNAcentral's name for it is "lncRNA (ENSSSAG00000113457.1, ENSSSAG00020058564.1)". Lineage: Eukaryota; Metazoa; Chordata; Actinopteri; Salmoniformes; Salmonidae. The record is from RNAcentral.